CAGUAGCCGCGGUAAUACGAAGGGUGCAAGCGUUAAUCGGAAUUACUGGGCGUAAAGCGUGCGUAGGCGGUUUGUUAAGUCUGUUGUGAAAUCCCCGGGCUCAACCUGGGAAUGGCAAUGGAUACUGGCAAGCUAGAGUGUGUCAGAGGAUGGUGGAAUUCCCGGUGUAGCGGUGAAAUGCGUAGAGAUCGGGAGGAACAUCAGUGGCGAAGGCGGCCAUCUGGGACAACACUGACGCUGAGGCACGAAAGCGUGGGGAGCAAACAGGAUUAGAUACCCGAGUAGUCCCUGUCUCUUAUAC
This 301-nucleotide ribosomal RNA is filed under the name uncultured bacterium. RNAcentral describes it as "partial 16S ribosomal RNA". It matches the Rfam family "Bacterial small subunit ribosomal RNA", at positions 509 to 807 of the family's 1533-position model. The record is from RNAcentral.